ACCUAUCUGAUGAGUCUCAAACAGGUCGAAAUGCUCAUCCUAGAU
RNAcentral lists this non-coding RNA (45 nucleotides) under Schistosoma mansoni. The record is from RNAcentral. Lineage: Eukaryota; Metazoa; Platyhelminthes; Trematoda; Strigeidida; Schistosomatidae.